GGGGCUGUAGCUCAGUGGCAGAGCGCUUGCCUAGCAUGCCGGAGGCACUGGGUUCCAUCCCCAGCACCA
Molecule: transfer RNA, 69 nt
Filed under: Ictidomys tridecemlineatus (thirteen-lined ground squirrel)
Lineage: Eukaryota; Metazoa; Chordata; Mammalia; Rodentia; Sciuridae
Description: Spermophilus tridecemlineatus (thirteen-lined ground squirrel) tRNA
Rfam family: tRNA
About the family: Transfer RNA (tRNA) molecules are approximately 80 nucleotides in length. Their secondary structure includes four short double-helical elements and three loops (D, anti-codon, and T loops).
Source: Rfam by way of RNAcentral